AUUAUCUAACUUCAGUCAAAA
Molecule: small nuclear RNA, 21 nt
Filed under: Arabidopsis thaliana (thale cress)
Lineage: Eukaryota; Viridiplantae; Streptophyta; Magnoliopsida; Brassicales; Brassicaceae
Description: snRNA_14479
Source: RNAcentral